GUCCCAUCCACCCCGCGCUCCGGCCUCCUCCUCCUCCUCCCUCUCUCUCUCUGGAGCUUUCGUUCUCCGCCCGAGCCGCCUCCUCGCGUCUCCGCGGCUGUUUCCUUCCCCCGUGUCCAUCAUCAAUUCUCGGUUCCGUCUCGAAUCGCGUUUGAUUUUGCUAUAUCCUCGUCGCCUCUGCCUCCUCGCAGGGGGUUCGGCCGGCCCGUCUCGUCCGCCUCCGGGGGAGCGAUCGGUCGGGAUCAGGAUCCCGUCGAGCUGUUCGGUUUUACUUUCCGCGUCUGGUUUCGGGUGAUCCUCCGUUGGCCAUAGCAAGGUCAGUUUCCUCUCUGCGUUCGUCGGUGAUUUCAGAUUCGAAUCGAAUUGAAUUGAGCGUCUAUCGCCCGUACGGCCUUCUGCCUCUGUGUUCCCCGAUCAAGCGCUCUCGUCACCAGUUAAUACGAUUACGAGGUGGAUUCCAGGGCCUCGUGGAUUCUUGUUGUGCCGCUGAUCUAGCUUUCGGUGUAUGCGCUCUCAUCCUAGAUGCAACCAAGUGGGCGAGCGCUAGUUGUGGGGAGAUGAUAUUGGAUAUAGAUCAAGGGUGGAGGUUUGAUUUUUUGUUGGUGGUUAUUUUGAUUGAUCGGUUAUUACAGUCCGACGGUUGGCCAAAUCUUCUGGGAUGGUCAAGCUUUUGACCUCUUAUUACCGACCUAGGCUGCAAAGGAAUGCACGAUCUGCGCCUAUUACAUUACAAUUCUGAUUUGGAUAUUUUCAGAAACUGGGAUUCAUCUUCUGGCACGCCUGCGUUUGGAUGAUGGCACUCUCUGUUUAAUUUCUUCUUCUCCACAAUUCAAUUAGCCCCCCAACAACUCUGAUUUUGAUUUGUUGCUGGCUCCCCACAUGUCCUCUUUUGGCUCGGCAUGGCGUUCAUGGGGCUUAACUUUCUGGACCUUUCUUAUUGAAACAAUUAUGGCUCAGCAGACAUUAGUUUCCCGUGCCUUACACUCAGGUCUCAGCUCUUGCAGAUAGUGUCUUGCAAUGGAUAUAAUUGGAACUUGUGGUGUCUACCUGACCAUCCCAGUCGAGACAGGCUUACUUUAAACAUUUAUACAAAGGUAUCUUGCUCGAUGCAGGUCGUAGCUCACCAACACAAGGCCACCAACCUGAUGCUAAGUUUGCAGUUCUUCUAUCUACUCCUUAGAUAAUACAUACUAAGAUUUCUUACUAGGCAAUAUUUCAAAUUCAGAUUUAGCUGCAAAGGUGCAAGAAUGAAGCUUCAAACAUAUCCUACAACCGUAAAAAACUUAAAUCUCUUAUCCUCUUAUUUUUAUUUAUUAAUUCAGCUACAUGUUCAUGUCUUUGAUUUAGGUUUUUUGCUUCUGCCCUCCAUGUCCUUGCAGAUUUGUUUUGGCCUAAGACAAUGCUGCUAGUGAGCCUGAAUAUGUUAAAUUGUCUGGUUUGCCAUUUACUAUCUCUUUGUGGUUUUAUUAAUUAUUGGUUAUCUGUAACUCUUGAUCCCUGCGUUAGUCUUCCUGCCCAUUGCUAUCUGAUAUAUUUAUAGGAAGUCUGGCCCUACAUGCAGACCUGUUAUUCGUGUGUUGGCUUCCAUGGGUUGGCUGCAGGACUGGAUCUAGUAUGUGGAGACCCCUGGGGUGUUGUAUGUCAAGGGGAUUUGAGUCAGAUGCAGCAGAAGCAAGAGGGUAGUGGUUCCGCAGAGAUGUGGAGGUUUGGUUUCUUACACAUGGUUAGAUCUUUCUGGAGGACGAUGUUUUGGUGUUCAAAAUCCAACUUGUGAUCCGUGUUUGGAUGAUUGCAAAUUCUGGAUCACUCUGACUUUUAACUUACUCAUUCAUUUGCGAAGUACAAUAAUUUACUCUCCAGAGGUUCUGACUUGGACUAUUAUUAUUGGUGGAUCUACAGAAAUUUGGAUUUGGCUUAGCGGCAGGGGUGACAUGUCUUCUUGCUGAUCUGCUUUGGAUGAAUCAUUACUUCCUCCAUUUCAUUUAUUUCUCUCCAUAGCUCACCUUCAGUCUACGACAAUCCUGAUUUGCAUUUGUUGGUGGUUCUUCAGAAAUUGAGGUUAUACGGCUUAGCGGGAGCAUCUAUCGUCUUGGUGAUCUGCAGUGGAUGAUCAUUACCUAAUCAUUUUAAUUUCUUCUUCUCCAGAGUUCAAUUAGUCUCCCAACAAUUCUGACUGUGAUCUGUUGAUGGUUGUCCAGAAUUGGAAUUACACGGUCUAGCGGGCGGUCCUAUAUUUUGCCUCAGCGUGGCAGUUCCUUCUUUCUCAACCUUCCUUAUUGAACUCGCAUGACAUUAGGUUUUAUCUGCCUUAGUCGGUAAUUCUCAGCUCUUGCAGAUACUGACAUAGAAAGGUACUGCAGUUUGGAACUGGUGGUGUUGUCGUCCGUCAACCAUAGCUGAACUUCCUAUCCAAGACAGGCUUACUUGUUCCCGCCUAUCGUUUGGUCCAUGCUUUAGCUAUUUAUAAGCAACAUUUUCCCCUAACUGAAAUUUUAUAGAAAGGUCUCUUUCUUGUUGCAGGUUGUAGUUGACGAAACUCGAGCCCAACUUGAUGGUUUGCAGAUCUUUUAAAUCUACUAGUAUACCUUCAAAUCAUUGCAACUUACAUAACCUACAAAUUAUCUUACUAGGCAAUAUUUUAUAAUACAGAUUCAUAUGCAAAGGUGCAUGAAUCUAAGGAUAAUCCGAAGCUUUCGACUAAUGGCGCAUCCUACAACCGAGAAAGACUCUUGCCUAGGUUUUUGCUCCUGCCCUUCCUGUGGAUGCAGAUCUUUUUUAGCCCAGAGCAUGUGGGUAAUGACGCGGAGUCUGUUCUAAUAUUUUGGUUUGUGAUCUAGCUCUCCGUUGUUUGAUUUGUUACCUUUAACUCUUGAUCCCUGUGUUCUAUUGGUCUUCUGCAAGUGUGGGUUGCAGGAUAUGAUAGUUAGGAGUUCGUGCCCAAACCUUUGCUCUGUACAUGGAGUCAGGUCAGUGUCAUGUAGAUGGUCUGUUUGUUCCAUUUGUUAGCGCCACCUCCGUGAGUUGGCUUGCAGGAUUGGAUCCGGUCUGGACAUGUAGCUCCCUAUGAUGUAUAACAGUAUGGUGAAGGGGAUUUGAGGCAGGUCAGCCCAUGUUUGAUCACAUUGGUUUACUGGAUCCCUCAUCUGUGCUCGGUGACGAAAGAUAUUAGUGGCUAUACCUUGAGUUCUUCGAUUUGUCUUUGUCUGAUUGCUCAUCAUUAUGGCUGUCCCUCAAUUUGCCGUGAACUGGUUCUUGUUGUGACAGCUGAUCUCGCUUGUGGUAUGUGUUUGUGCUCCUUGAGAUGCAGGAUGUUGUUGAGUGAUGAAUCAAAGGAUUGAGGUUUGCUUUACUGUUCAUGGUUAUUUUGAUUGGUUAUGACUCAAUGGAUGGUUAUAAGCUAUUAUCUUGUGUGCUGAAGUUUUCGUUUUGGAUUGAAGCUGGAUUGGAUUAACCAUGGGAUGGGGAUCAGAGAAUUUGUGAACAGUGUUUGGAUAAUCGAUCCUCCUCUAUUUAGUUUCUUUGUUUGCACUUACAACAUAUCUGAUAUGGAUUCUCCAGCUAUUUGGCUUAUAUGGGGACUUUCCGGAAGGUGCCCUGUUUUGUUUCACCAUGUUACUGGCGGUUUCUUCUGUUGGCUUCAAUCUUUCCUGAUUUGCGUUGAAUAUUGAACUUCCUAUGGCUUUCUCUGCCCUUGGUAACUACGUGUCCUUCCAGAUAUUGACAUGGAUGAGAGAUAAUAUAGUUUGCUAUCUGCAACUGGUGUUGUUGACUAACUGAUCUCUCCCAGCCAAGCAGGCUUAUCCUAUCCCCUCACUGUUUUGAUGCAUUAUUUAGCUGUUUAUAAGUACCUUCGUCUCCCCAAAGCAAAAAUUCAUGAGAAGGUCUCUUGGUCGUUGCAGGUCCUAAUUGACUAUUUAGGUCCAACCUGAUGCGGAGUUAUCUGUUUGAAGUCUUCUAAACCCUACACCUUUCCAAUUCAUUGCAAUUUGUUCAACAUAUAAAUUAUCUUAUGGAGACAAUUUGAACAUUCAGAUUGAUUUGUUGGAUAGAUUCGAUGGUUUCUCUGGGGCUUCAGUCUAGAUGGGACAUCCUACAACCGAAAAUACCUGGUGAACUCCACAACCGAAAAUUAUCUUAUGCUGAGUUAUCUCCUGAAGAAACUACUGUUGUCUUGGCUGCCUUUGCUUGUAGCAUUGAUCAAGCCAUGCUGGUAGCCAUUCAAAAUAUGUUACCUUUUUGGUUUCUGGUCCUCUCUGUGGUUUACUUUGUUAUAUCUGUACUACCCAUCCAUGUGUUUCUGUUGGUCUGUUGGCCUGGCUUGUUCUUUGCACAGUAUAUCUUGGAAUUGGUGGGUGUGCCCUGUAGAGUCAGGUCAGUGUCUGGUCUGCUCUCAAUACAAAAAUUAGCUUUGUUCCCUCUUCUCCAAUCUCCAAUGGCUAAUCAACGAUUCUGUCUGCCACGUAAUACAAGGUGAAUUUUAUCUUGUUUAUGGUAUGCUCAUUUGUUCCUUUAGAUACAAGACAGCGGAGAUCGUAUUGAAGGGUAAAGGUUUGGGUGAUUCAUGGAUGUUCUUUAGCUCUUCUGAUUAUAUCUUAAGUUUGGGAUUGGAAUUUUUGGUCAUGCCUGCAUGGUUGAGGAUUCAUAAGUGUCUUGAGGCGUGACUGGACUGUUUAGAUAUAUUCUCCUCUGAUUUCUCCAUGUGAGCAGUUUGGUUUCUGUUCUGAGUAUUAUUUGGAUUUUUUGUUGUUCUCCAGCAUUUGAGCGUAGACUUGCCCAUUUUUAUUGGAAUGGUGCAGAGCUCUAGGAGAUUCUUCGUGAUUCGAUCUUGUCAAACUUCUCUCUGUUAACUUUUAACAUUCCAAACAUUGUUCUUUCUUGUCAGUAACUCUUAGUUCUAUGCAGAUAUGACAUACAAUGAGGAUAAUCAAACCAAUGUGCAUAACUUCACUAAACCAGGCUUAUCCCCAUCUCCCUUGCUAUAUUUGAUGUGAACAGCUUUCUCCAAAAUGGUUAGGCAUCAUGGUCUUUUGUUCAUUGCAGGUGUACUUCACAAUCUUACAGAAGAAGUCUGAUGUCAUGCUGCGUGAAAAUUUGUUUGGAGACCUUCUGACUUCACAUUUUCUAUUUAGUUAGCUAGAAACCCAAUUAGCUGUUAAGUUUGGUAUUCAAACUGAUCCGCGGAGGUGAAGAGUUCUAAAAGCUUGUUUGGGAACUUCGUUCUGGAUAGAGGAGUCUUCUACAACCACAAACUUAUACCUAUGCUGCAUCCUUGUUUCGACUCAUUGUCCAGUUCUAAUUAUGGUCUAACUUUCCUUGAAGAAACUUCUAAGUAUGCCAAUUAUAUUUGGUCUGUUCAUUAAUCGGCACUGUUGGAGGUUUUAUUGGAAUAUUGUAGAGUUGGAAAGUCUAGCAAAACGUCAGUUGGUGUGGGGACUUAGUGAAGCCCGGGCGGUUUUAACUUCUGAUUAAUCCUGAUCCUGAAGCAUAUUACUUGAUUUGGUAUUUGUGCAGCUUUCAGUUUGAACUUGCAUUCAGUGAUAGUUUGGAGUUAGUAGUGUGCACAUCUGAUUCUGCCAACUGUCCUGAAGCAUCUUAUCAUGACAUCCUACUGAUUACAACAUCUGCUUCAGCUUGCAUGUGGUUUGGAAUAUGAUCUCAGCUUUUUCUCCGAAUCAACAAAAUGCUAGAAGUAAUGAUGUCCUAACUGGAAGUUCCUUUAGUCUCAAACAAGGGUUCAACAAUGGAAAUACCAGUUCAUAGCAGAUUAUCAAACUUUGAUUUGGCUAUAGAUUACUACUUGGUUGACAUACUAUUUCCAGAAGUUGGGUUUUAAUAUUAGGCUGGUUGUAUCUAUAAUUUUAUCUCUAGCAGUAAUAUUUUUAGCUUGCAAAUUUAUAUCACCUAAUACAUGUACAUGAGCUCUGAAUGCAGUAAAAGAUUUGUCAGUCUACUA
Molecule: long non-coding RNA, 5953 nt
Organism: Triticum dicoccoides
Lineage: Eukaryota; Viridiplantae; Streptophyta; Magnoliopsida; Poales; Poaceae
Exons: 2
Source: RefSeq, a predicted model, not a curated record